RNAcentral lists this ribosomal RNA (468 nucleotides) under uncultured bacterium. Its description in RNAcentral is "partial 16S ribosomal RNA". It matches the Rfam family "Bacterial small subunit ribosomal RNA", at positions 28 to 507 of the family's 1533-position model. The record is from RNAcentral.
GACGAACGCUGGCGGCGUGCUUAACACAUGCAAGUCGAACGGAAAGGCCCUGCUUUUGUGGGGUGCUCGAGUGGCGAACGGGUGAGUAACACGUGAGUAACCUGCCCUUGACUUUGGGAUAACUUCAGGCAACUGGGGCUCAUACCGGAUCGGCGCUCCUGCUGCAUGGUGGGGGUUGGAAAGUUUCGGCGGGUGGGGAUGGACUCGCGGCUUAUCAGCUUGUUGGUGGGGUAGUGGCUUACCAAGGCUUUGACGGGUAGCAGGCCUGAGAGGGUGACCGGCCACAUUGGGACUGAGAUACGGCCCAGACUCCUACGGGAGGCAGCAGUGUGGAAUAUUGCACAAUGGGCGGAAGCCUGAUGCAGCAACGCCGCGUGCGGGAUGACGGCCUGCGGGUUGUAAACCGCUUUCGCCUGUGACGAAGCGUGAGUGACGGUAAUGGGUAAAGAAGCACCGGCUAACUACGUG